This is a non-coding RNA of Sphingobium sp. MI1205, 68 nucleotides long. Lineage: Bacteria; Pseudomonadati; Pseudomonadota; Alphaproteobacteria; Sphingomonadales; Sphingobiaceae. The record is from Rfam.
CGUGCGGGCCGGGCCCCUCUGGCGGAUGGCUUCCUUUGGGAAGCUGGACGUGAUGUCGGACCGCAUCG